UACAGGGGGGGCAAGCGUUGUUCGGAAUUACUGGGCGUAAAGGGCCAGUAGGCGGCCAACUAAGUCCGACGUGAAAUCCCUAGGCUUAACCUAGGAACUGCGUCGGAUACUGGAUGGCUUGAAUUCGGGAGAGGGAUGCGGAAUUCCAGGUGUAGCGGUGAAAUGCGUAGAUAUCUGGAGGAACACCGGUGGCGAAGGCGGCAUCCUGGACCGGCAUUGACGCUGAGGCGCGAAAGCCAGGGGAGCGAAUGGG
RNAcentral lists this ribosomal RNA (253 nucleotides) under uncultured bacterium. RNAcentral's name for it is "partial 16S ribosomal RNA". It matches the Rfam family "Bacterial small subunit ribosomal RNA", at positions 524 to 776 of the family's 1533-position model. The record is from RNAcentral.